UAAAACUUUUAACAACGGAUCUCUUGGUUCUGGCAUCGAUGAAGAACGCAGCGAAAUGCGAUAAGUAAUGUGAAUUGCAGAAUUCAGUGAAUCAUCGAAUCUUUGAACGCACAUUGCGCCCCCUGGUAUUCCGGGGGGCAUGCCUGUUCGAGCGUCAUUU
RNAcentral lists this ribosomal RNA (160 nucleotides) under Cladosporium sp. AP5s2-J2a. Its description in RNAcentral is "5.8S ribosomal RNA". It matches the Rfam family "5.8S ribosomal RNA". From Rfam's summary of the family: 5.8S ribosomal RNA (5.8S rRNA) is a component of the large subunit of the eukaryotic ribosome. It is transcribed by RNA polymerase I as part of the 45S precursor that also contains 18S and 28S rRNA. The record is from RNAcentral. Lineage: Eukaryota; Fungi; Ascomycota; Dothideomycetes; Cladosporiales; Cladosporiaceae.